UUCUACCCAAGAACAGGAAUAUUCAUCUAGACCAAUUUCUUUUAGUUUGAAGACUAACCUAUUGUGAGGAACCGUAUCAAAUGCCUUGGCAAAGUCCAAGUAGAUCACAUCCACUGCAACACCCUGAUCUAUACUUCUACUUACUUCUUCAUAGAAUGCAAUUAGGUUAGUUUGACAUGACCUAUGUUUCAUAAAACCAUG
Pelobates cultripes (western spadefoot toad) is the source of this 201-nucleotide non-coding RNA. The record is from the annotation of a GenBank genome assembly. NCBI's taxonomy places the organism in Eukaryota, Metazoa, Chordata, Amphibia, Anura, Pelobatidae.